RNAcentral lists this small nuclear RNA (134 nucleotides) under Tupaia belangeri (northern tree shrew). Its description in RNAcentral is "U1 spliceosomal RNA (ENSTBEG00000018360.1)". It matches the Rfam family "U1 spliceosomal RNA", at positions 27 to 166 of the family's 166-position model. From Rfam's summary of the family: U1 is a small nuclear RNA (snRNA) component of the spliceosome (involved in pre-mRNA splicing). Its 5' end forms complementary base pairs with the 5' splice junction, thus defining the 5' donor site of an intron. The record is from RNAcentral. Lineage: Eukaryota; Metazoa; Chordata; Mammalia; Scandentia; Tupaiidae.
AUAUCAUCCUGGUUUUCCAGGAUGAGGUUUAUCCAUUGUACUCUGAAUGUGCUAACUCCUGUGAUUUCCCCAAAUGUCAGAAACUCCACUGCAUAACUUGUGGUAGUGAGGGACUGUGUUUGCACUUAACCUUG